Molecule: ribosomal RNA, 497 nt
Filed under: uncultured bacterium
Lineage: Bacteria
Description: partial 16S ribosomal RNA
Rfam family: Bacterial small subunit ribosomal RNA
Source: RNAcentral
GAUGAACGCUGGCGGCGUGCCUAAUACAUGCAAGUCGAGCGAACGGACGAGAAGCUUGCUUCUCUGAUGUUAGCGGCGGACGGGUGAGUAACACGUGGAUAACCUACCUAUAAGACUGGGAUAACUUCGGGAAACCGGAGCUAAUACCGGAUAAUAUUUUGAACCGCAUGGUUCAAAAGUGAAAGACGGUCUUGCUGUCACUUAUAGAUGGAUCCGCGCUGCAUUAGCUAGUUGGUAAGGUAACGGCUUACCAAGGCAACGAUGCAUAGCCGACCUGAGAGAGUGAUCGGCCACACUGGAACUGAGACACGGUCCAGACUCCUACGGGAGGCAGCAGUAGGGAAUCUGCCGCAAUGGGCGAAAGCCUGACGGAGCAACGCCGCGUGAGUGAUGAAGGUCUUCGGAUCGUAAAACUCUGUUAUUAGGGAAGAACAUAUGUGUAAGUAACUGUGCACAUCUUGACGGUACCUAAUCAGAAAGCCACGGCUAACUACGUG